Molecule: ribosomal RNA, 450 nt
Filed under: uncultured prokaryote
Description: bacterial SSU rRNA
Rfam family: Bacterial small subunit ribosomal RNA
Source: RNAcentral
UGGGGAAUUUUGGGCAAUGGGCGAAAGCCUGACCCAGCAACGCCGCGUGAGGGAUGAAGGCCCUCGGGUCGUAAACCUCUGUCGGGAGGGAAGAACGGUAGCCCUUCGAACAGGUGGGCUGCCUGACGGUACCUCCAAAGGAAGGUCCGGCUAACUCCGUGCCAGCAGCCGGGGUAAUACGGAGGGAGCAAGCGUUGUUCGGAAUCAUUGGGCGUAAAGCGGGUGUAGGGGGCUUGGCAAGUCGGGUGUGAAAUCCCGGGGCCCAACCCCGGAACUGCACUCGAAACUGCCUCGCUAGAGUCCCGGAGAGGAAGGCGGAAUUCCCGGUGUAGAGGUGAAAUUCGUAGAUAUCGGGAGGAACACCAGUGGCGAAGGCGGCCUCCUGGACGGUGACUGACGCUGAGACGCGAAAGCGUGGGGAGCAAACAGGAUUAGAUACCCGGGUAGUCC